GCNGUAGUCAUAUGCUUGUCUCAAAGCUUAAGCCAUGCAAGUCUCAGUACAGACUAUAUUAAAGUGAAACCGCAAAAGGCUCAGUAAACCAGUUUUAAUUUACUAGAGUUAACUUGACUGUGCUUGGAUAACUGUGGUAAUUCUAGAGCUAAUACAUGCAACAAAGCCGUGACCAUUCGUGGUCAGGGCGCUUUUAUUAGACCAAGACCAAUCGCCCGGCCAGUCCGGGCGUUAAGUUGAGGAACCUAGAUAACACAGCAGAUCGCAUGGUCUUUGUACCGGCGACCUAUCUUUCAAAUGCCUGACUUAUCAACUGACGAUGGUAGACUCUGUGUCUACCAUGGCUGUUACGGGUAACGGGGAAUCAGGGUUCGAUUCCGGAGAGGGAGCCUGAGAAACGGCUACCACAUCCAAGGAAGGCAGCAGGCACGCAAAUUACCCACUCCCGGAACGGGGAGGUAGUGACAAAAAAUAACGAUACGGGACUCGAUAUGAGGCCUCGUAAUCGGAAUGAGUACACUCUAAAUCCUUUAACAAAAAUCUAUUGGAGGGCAAGUCUGGUGCCAGCAGCCGCGGUAAUUCCAGCUCCAAUAGCGUAUAUUAAAGUUGUUGCGGUUAAAAAGCUCGUAGUUGGUUCUGCGUCCCGCGCUGUCGGUACACCGUUUGUCGGUGACACUGGCAUGACGCGGGAUGUCCUGUCGGUGGCGGCGGAGACCAUAUCGCCGUCGGCUAACACCGCGGCGUGUUGGCCUUCUGUCGCCGGCUUUAUCCUACCGCGGUGCUCUUCACUGAGUGUCGAGGUAGGCCGACACGUUUACUUUGAACAAAUUAGAGUGCUUAAAGCAGGCAAAAAUCUCUGCCAGAAUAGUGGUGCAUGGAAUAAUGGAACAGGACCUUGGUUCUAUUCUGUUGGUCUCCGGAACACAAGGUAAUGAUCAAUGUGGACAGGCGGGGGCAUUCGUAUUGCGGCGUUAGAGGUGAAAUUCUUGGAUCGUCGCAAGACGCACUAGAGCGAAAGCAAUUGCCAAGUAUGUCUUAAUUGAUCAAGAACGAAAGUUAGAGGUUCGAAGGCGAUCAGA
Molecule: ribosomal RNA, 1079 nt
Filed under: Cimex sp.
Lineage: Eukaryota; Metazoa; Arthropoda; Insecta; Hemiptera; Cimicidae
Description: SSU rRNA
Rfam family: Eukaryotic small subunit ribosomal RNA
Source: RNAcentral